UGGAGAGUAAGGCAGCUGGGAAUUUUGGAGGCUUCCUGUUCCAGGUGGAAGGUGUUGUCUCUAAAGUGCAAGUGAAGCCUCACAGGUGAGGGAGGCAGCAAACAUCUGGCAGAGCACAGCACUCAAAGUGGGCAAAAUUAGAGAACGGGCUGAGGGUGACCCUGGGAAAUUCCUCUGCAGAGUUUCUGUUCCCAUUGUGAGGAGGUGCCAUCAUCUGUUCUGUGACACCUGGAGAAAAUCCUUCCUGGCUCUGCCUGCACAGAGCUGUGGAUGGAUUCUUCAGACACAGAGCAAGCACUCCUCCUUGGGAGCUCCUUUUCCUGGAGCUGGAGCCUGCCUGGAUGCCUUUGAAGAGGCUUUUUUUGCAUUUGUUGGAAAACCAGAGGACAACAAGCUCUGA
RNAcentral lists this long non-coding RNA (400 nucleotides) under Serinus canaria (Common canary). RNAcentral's name for it is "lncRNA (ENSSCAG00000015282.1)". The record is from RNAcentral. Lineage: Eukaryota; Metazoa; Chordata; Aves; Passeriformes; Fringillidae.